GAUGAACGCUGGCGGCGUGCCUAAUACAUGCAAGUCGAGCGAACGGACGAGAAGCUUGCUUCUCUGAUGUUAGCGGCGGACGGGUGAGUAACACGUGGAUAACCUACCUAUGAGACUGGGAUAACUUCGGGAAACCGGAGCUAAUACCGGAUAAUAUUUUGAACCGCAUGGUUCAAAAGUGAAAGACGGUCUUGCUGUCACUUAUCGAUGGAUCCGCGCUGCAUUAGCUAGUUGGUAAGGUAACGGCUUACCAAGGCAACGAUGCAUAGCCGACCUGAGAGGGUGAUCGGCCACACUGGAACUGAGACACGGUCCAGACUCCUACGGGAGGCAGCAGUAGGGAAGCUUCCGCAAUGGGCGAAAGCCUGACGGAGCAACGCCGCGUGAGUGAUGAAGGUCUUCGGAUCGUAAAACUCUGUUAUUAGGGAAGAACAUAUGUGUAAGUAACUGUGCACAUCUUGACGGUACCUAAUCAGAAAGCCACGGCUAACUACGUG
This 497-nucleotide ribosomal RNA is filed under the name uncultured bacterium. RNAcentral's name for it is "partial 16S ribosomal RNA". It matches the Rfam family "Bacterial small subunit ribosomal RNA", at positions 28 to 507 of the family's 1533-position model. The record is from RNAcentral.